This 460-nucleotide ribosomal RNA is filed under the name uncultured bacterium. RNAcentral's name for it is "partial 16S ribosomal RNA". It matches the Rfam family "Bacterial small subunit ribosomal RNA", at positions 338 to 795 of the family's 1533-position model. The record is from RNAcentral.
CCUACGGGAGGCAGCAGUGAGGAAUAUUGGUCAAUGGACGAGAGUCUGAACCAGCCAAGUAGCGUGAAGGAUGACUGCCCUAUGGGUUGUAAACUUCUUUUAUAAAGGAAUAAAACGAGGCACGUGUGCCUUUUUGCAUGUACUUUAUGAAUAAGGAUCGGCUAACUCCGUGCCAGCAGCCGCGGUAAUACGGAGGAUCCGAGCGUUAUCCGGAUUUAUUGGGUUUAAAGGGAGCGUAGAUGGGUUGUUAAGUCAGUUGUGAAAGUUUGCGGCUCAACCGUAAAAUUGCAAUUGAUACUGGCAGUCGUGAGUACAGUUGAGGUGGGCGGAAUUCGUGGUGUAGCGGUGAAAUGCUGAGAUAUAACGAAGAACCCCGAUUGCGAAGGCAGCUUACUAAACUGUGACUGACAUUGAUGCUCGAAAGUGUGGGUAUCAAACAGGAUUAGAUACCCCAGUAGUC